CAGGAAUGUAUACCACCACCACGACGCACAUCUCGGCACUGAGGGCAGAUCUGGUGGCUGGGGCCACCCUGCAGUCCCAGAUCGUGGCUGAACUCUGUGGUCCUGAUUCAUCUCCCUAGAAGACUGGGUGAACUUGAAUUCUUCUCCCUUUCAAAGAGCUUUUUCCCCUGAAUCCCUUUUACAAUCUGAAGAAAAGGAAGAAAGCCGGAGGAAGCUUAACAUGAGAUGCAAGUGGAGCCUGAUGCUGCAGUGCGUGGCAGAAGCCUUAGCUUAGAAGCAACAGUUCUACUAGAAAUCAUGUUACAGAUUAUGUACUUCUUUGGAAUGGCCAUGAGAAAAAUGCGUUCCCACAGUAUCGUCAAAGGAACUACAUCCAGCACCAGAUUUUCCUACCAACCAAAUACAGGGGCUAAGAGUCUGGCAGCUCAUAACUUGGUACUCGUGACUCCAGCUGAUACAUUCACAUCAUAA
RNAcentral lists this long non-coding RNA (471 nucleotides) under Dromaius novaehollandiae (emu). Its description in RNAcentral is "lncRNA (ENSDNVG00000010777.1)". Lineage: Eukaryota; Metazoa; Chordata; Aves; Casuariiformes; Dromaiidae. The record is from RNAcentral.